AACGCGAAGAACCUUACCUGGGCUUGACAUCUAUGGAACCCUGCGGAAACGUGGGGGUGCCUUCGGGAGCCAUAAGACAGGUGGUGCACGGUUGUCGUCAGCUCGUGUCGUGAGAUGUUGGGUUAAGUCCCGCAACGAGCGCAACCCUCGUGGUCUGUUGUUACAGGUCGUAAGAUGCUGAACCCUCAGGCCAGACUGCCGGUGACAAACCGGAGGAAGGUGGGGAUGACGUCAAAUCAUCACGCCCCUUAUGUCCAGGGCUACACACGUGUUACAAUGGGGAGGACAACGGGUCGCUUGGCAGCAAUGUCUGGCAAAUCCCUUAAAACCUACCCUCAGUUCGGAUCGGAGUCUGCAACUCGACUCCGUGAAGUCGGAAUCGCUAGUAAACGCAGAUCAGCACGCUGCGUUGAAUACGUUCCCGGGCCUUGUACACACCGAGUAUA
Molecule: ribosomal RNA, 446 nt
Filed under: uncultured bacterium
Lineage: Bacteria
Description: bacterial SSU rRNA
Rfam family: Bacterial small subunit ribosomal RNA
Source: RNAcentral